GCCGGACUCCUACGGGAGGCAGCAGUGGGGAAUAUUGCACAAUGGGGGAAACCCUGAUGCAGCGACGCCGCGUGAGCGAUGAAGUAUUUCGGUAUGUAAGGCUCUAUCAGCAGGGAAGAAAAUGACGGUACCUGACUAAGAAGCCCCGGCUAACUACGUGCCAGCAGCCGCGGUAAUACGUAGGGGGCGAGCGUUAUCCGGAUUUACUGGGUGUAAAGGGAGCGUAGACGGUUCUGCAAGUCUGAAGUGAAAGCCCGUGGCUUAACCGCGGAACGGCUUUGGAAACUGUGGAACUGGAGUGCUGGAGAGGCAAGCGGAAUUCCUAGUGUAGCGGUGAAAUGCGUAGAUAUCAGGAGGAACACCGGCGGCGAAGGCGGCCUGCUGGACCGCGACUGACGUUGAGGCUCGAAAGCGUGGGGAGCAAACAGGAUUAGAUACCCUCGUA
This 445-nucleotide ribosomal RNA is filed under the name uncultured bacterium. RNAcentral's name for it is "bacterial SSU rRNA". It matches the Rfam family "Bacterial small subunit ribosomal RNA", at positions 330 to 792 of the family's 1533-position model. The record is from RNAcentral.